ACGAACGCUGGCGGCGUGCUUAACACAUGCAAGUCGAACGGAAAGGCCCUGCUUUUGUGGGGUGCUCGAGUGGCGAACGGGUGAGUAACACGUGAGUAACCUGCCCUUGACUUUGGGAUAACUUCAGGAAACUGGGGCUAAUACCGGAUAGGAGCUCCUGCUGCAUGGUGGGGGUUGGAAAGUUUCGGCAGUUGGGGAUGGACUCGCGGCUUAUCAGCUUGUUGGUGGGGUAGUGGCUUACCAAGGCUUUGACGGGUAGCCGGCCUGAGAGGGUGACCGGCCACAUUGGGACUGAGAUACGGCCCAGACUCCUACGGGAGGCAGCAGUGGGGAAUAUUGCACAAUGGGCGGAAGCCUGAUGCAGCAACGCCGCGUGCGGGAUGACGGCCUUCGGGUUGUAAACCGCUUUCGCCUGUGACGAAGCGUGAGUGACGGUAAUGGGUAAAGAAGCACCGGCUAACUACGUGC
RNAcentral lists this ribosomal RNA (468 nucleotides) under uncultured bacterium. RNAcentral describes it as "partial 16S ribosomal RNA". It matches the Rfam family "Bacterial small subunit ribosomal RNA", at positions 29 to 508 of the family's 1533-position model. The record is from RNAcentral.